AGUGAACGCUGGCGGUAGGCCUAACACAUGCAAGUCGAACGGCAGCACAGUAAGAGCUUGCUCUUACGGGUGGCGAGUGGCGGACGGGUGAGGAAUACAUCGGAAUCUACUUUUUCGUGGGGGAUAACGUAGGGAAACUUACGCUAAUACCGCAUACGACCUACGGGUGAAAGCAGGGGAUCUUCGGACCUUGCGCGAUUGAAUGAGCCGAUGUCGGAUUAGCUAGUUGGCGGGGUAAAGGCCCACCAAGGCGACGAUCCGUAGCUGGUCUGAGAGGAUGAUCAGCCACACUGGAACUGAGACACGGUCCAGACUCCUACGAGAGGCAGCAGUGGGGAAUAUUGGACAAUGGGCGCAAGCCUGAUCCAGCCAUACCGCGUGGGUGAAGAAGGCCUUCGGGUUGUAAAGACCUUUUGUUGGGAAAGAAAAGCAGCAGGUUAAUACCCCGCUGUUCUGACGGUACCCAAAGAAUAAGCACCGGCUAACUUCGUG
RNAcentral lists this ribosomal RNA (492 nucleotides) under uncultured bacterium. RNAcentral describes it as "partial 16S ribosomal RNA". It matches the Rfam family "Bacterial small subunit ribosomal RNA", at positions 29 to 507 of the family's 1533-position model. The record is from RNAcentral.